RNAcentral lists this ribosomal RNA (495 nucleotides) under uncultured bacterium. RNAcentral's name for it is "partial 16S ribosomal RNA". It matches the Rfam family "Bacterial small subunit ribosomal RNA", at positions 28 to 507 of the family's 1533-position model. The record is from RNAcentral.
GACGAACGCUGGCGGCGUGCCUAAUACAUGCAAGUAGAACGCUGAAGGAGGAGCUUGCUUCUCUGGAUGAGUUGCGAACGGGUGAGUAACGCGUAGGUAACCUGCCUGGUAGCGGGGGAUAACUAUUGGAAACGAUAGCUAAUACCGCAUAAGAGUAGAUGUUGCAUGACAUUUGCUUAAAAGGUGCAAUUGCAUCACUACCAGAUGGACCUGCGUUGUAUUAGCUAGUUGGUGGGGUAACGGCUUACCAAGGCGACGAUACAUAGCCGACCUGAGAGGGGGAUCGGCCACACUGGGACUGAGACACGGCCCAGACUCCUACGGGAGGCAGCAGUAGGGAAUCUUCGGCAAUGGACGGAAGUCUGACCGAGCAACGCCGCGUGAGUGCAGAAGGUUUUCGGAUCGUAAAGCUCUGUUGUAAGAGAAGAACGAGUGUGAGAGUGGAAAGUUCACACUGUGACGGUAUCUUACCAGAAAGGGACGGCUAACUACGUG